Molecule: long non-coding RNA, 1536 nt
Organism: Ornithorhynchus anatinus (platypus)
Lineage: Eukaryota; Metazoa; Chordata; Mammalia; Monotremata; Ornithorhynchidae
Exons: 3
Source: RefSeq, a predicted model, not a curated record
GGUCAAAGAAGAACGAUGAUAAUGGUCGAUACAAUAAUUAUCGGUAUUGAAAAAACGUUUUCAUGUUGCCGGGGUACCAAGGGUAAGCAGGGUCCCGUACAGGAUCACCGAAAGCACAAGGACAAAUAGUGGAUAAACUUAUCUUCUUUUUGUGUUACUGAUUAAAGACACCUCAUGCAGCUUCCACUUCAGAAAAAAAAAAUUACAAUGCGCUACUUCAAGUGACAGGCGAAAGGGGAAAAACUUUGGUGGGAGUCAGAGAAGGGUUCUCAUCUCUGAGGAAGAUUAAAACAAAUCUCCCUGUCACUUGUCUCUUUCAAAGACAGAGACAGAGGUACAGAGAGAGGAAAGAGAAAGGGCGGGGAAGGGAGAAAAAAAAAACCAAUUCAGAGACGGACUUCAUUAGAAACCAACACACAGGAAGGUGCAGAAGCUUAGUUAGGCAGGUCGGAGAGAGAGAGAAAGAGCUGAGGCUACGGAAAUCCUCCCCACCUUCCCAGCCAACGCUACGUUUCUAACUUGUUCUUGGAGUUUGUUUCUCUGCCCCCCAAAAUCACUGCACACUCAAGACCAAAGUGAAGAAAGUUUCGGGAUCCAGGGGACAUCUAACGCGUCUGUUGGGUGGAUGGGACGACGAAGCCAUUAAGCUGGCCGUUCUUCCAGUUCACUUUCUCCUUCAGUGUGAGUCAAAGGUGUGUGAAAGAUCUCGGGGUUUGGGUUUUGAGGUUAACAACUACGGACCUGUGGCCAGUAUCCUUUUGUAAGAGAGCGCCUAGCGUUCAAGACUGCUCUUCUCCGGACAGCCCCAGUUCUGGCAAGAGACACGGGGAAAACAAUAUACAAAUCGCCUACCACCUACCCGGGAAAUACAUUCAUAGGGCUGUCAAAAGAGAGUCCAAAUAAAAUAUGGAGAGAGAAACCCAGGAACCUGCCCAAAAGAGUUUUAUGUUCCAAGACUUUCUAUCCACAGUACGGAUGGUGUAUUCCAUGUGUUUACAUGCGUGUAUUCAGAAUAUCUUCCUUUGACCCAUUGUCUGAUGGGUGACAGAAUCGAACCUGCAUACGUAAUAUGCUAAGUGGUAUAUCAUCGUGCUCUUUAUUAUAAUGUAUUUCACGACUGCUUGGCCAAAUGAUAUUAAUGAGGAAAAUCAAUUGCCCACAAACAGCAUUUCUAUACAGCUUCCCAAUUCAUCAAAUGCCAUUCACAUGAAAAUAAAUUAAUUCCAGUAAAAGACCAAAAUUCUAAAUCCUAGAACUUCUGCACUUGUAAAGUCUGCAGAAGAGCACUUACCCGGAGCUCUGUAACAGUCAUGGAGAAAUAAACUUUUUUUCCAUUUUUUUCCUCAUAGUAAAAUACAACGAGAGACGUUUUGAAAACUGAAGAGUAAUUAUUAAAAUGAACAGAAUAGAAAUGGCAUUUAAGAAGAGACCUGAAAAAAUAGCGUUUGGGCUUUUUCAAAAGAGACAGUGAGGGUGUAAAUGGGCGUCCAAACGUAUCUUAAUAAAAAUGAAGGCGCUGAUCAUCUAGCAUGUGCA